Molecule: unclassified non-coding RNA, 300 nt
Filed under: uncultured fungus
Lineage: Eukaryota; Fungi
Description: sequence contains ITS1
Rfam family: 5.8S ribosomal RNA (bases 1-105)
Source: RNAcentral
GAAAUGCGAUAAGUAGUGUGAAUUGCAGAUUUCAGUGAAUCAUCGAAUCUUUGAACGCACAUUGCGCCCGCUAGUAUUCUGGCGGGCAUGCCUGUUCGAGCGUCAUUUCAACCAUCAAGCCCCCGGGCUUGUGUUGGAGCCCUGCGGCUGCCGCAGGCUCCCAAACGCAGUGGCGGGCUCGUCGUCGUACCGAGUGCAGUAAACAUACCUCGCUCAGGGAACGCGUCGGGUCCCGGCCGUAAAACACCCAAACUUAUCAAGGUUGACCUCGGAUCAGGUAGGAAUACCCGCUGAACUUAA